RNAcentral lists this ribosomal RNA (31 nucleotides) under Pseudo-nitzschia cf. subpacifica. RNAcentral's name for it is "partial 28S ribosomal RNA". Lineage: Eukaryota; Bacillariophyta; Bacillariophyceae; Bacillariales; Bacillariaceae. The record is from RNAcentral.
CCGGAUCUCAGAUCAAGCAAGAAUACCCGCC